GUGAAUCAUCGAAUUUUUGAACGCAAAUUGCGCUUCCUGGCAUCCCGGGAAGUAUGCCUGUUUGAGGGUCAGUAUUAAUAAAAAAUCGGUUUAGUUACAAAUUGUGACGUUUCCGGAGUGUGGUCUAUCUUAACAUUUUUAGUUAAUGUGCUUAAAAUUGACCUUUUUUGCGCAUUCUUAGACGUACAUAAAUUUUUUUUUUUAUUCCUCUUUUCUUAAUGCCAAAAUCGUAUUAGAC
Molecule: unclassified non-coding RNA, 238 nt
Filed under: Glomeraceae sp.
Lineage: Eukaryota; Fungi; Glomeromycota; Glomeromycetes; Glomerales; Glomeraceae
Description: partial contains 5.8S ribosomal RNA and internal transcribed spacer 2
Rfam family: 5.8S ribosomal RNA (bases 1-71)
Source: RNAcentral